CCUACGGGAGGCAGCAGUGGGGAAUAUUGCGCAAUGGGCGAAAGCCUGACGCAGCGACGCCGCGUGAGGGAUGAAGGUCUUCGGAUCGUAAACCUCUGUCAGCAGGGAAGAACAUUCGCUGUACUAAUCAACAGUAGAUUGACGGUACCUUCACAGGAAGCACCGGCUAACUCCGUGCCAGCAGCCGCGGUAAUACGUAGGUUGCAAGCGUUAUUCGGAAUUACUGGGCGUAAAGCGCUCGUAGGCGGUAUGUCAAGUCAGGGGUAAAAUCCCGGGGCUCAACCCCGGAUCGCUUUUGAUACUAGCAAACUGGAGUGAGAGAGAGGAUAGCGGAAUUCCAGGUGAAGGAGUGAAAUGCGUAGAUAUAUGGAGGAACAUCAGAGGCGAAGGCGACUAUCUGGCACAUAACUGACGCUGAGGAGCGAAAGCGUGGGGAGCAAACAGGAUUAGAUACCCGGGUAGUC
This 464-nucleotide ribosomal RNA is filed under the name uncultured bacterium. RNAcentral's name for it is "partial 16S ribosomal RNA". It matches the Rfam family "Bacterial small subunit ribosomal RNA", at positions 338 to 795 of the family's 1533-position model. The record is from RNAcentral.